This 807-nucleotide small RNA is filed under the name uncultured Glomus. Its description in RNAcentral is "eukaryotic LSU rRNA". The stretch from base 525 to 807 matches the Rfam family "Eukaryotic large subunit ribosomal RNA", at positions 1 to 281 of the family's 3401-position model. The record is from RNAcentral. Lineage: Eukaryota; Fungi; Glomeromycota; Glomeromycetes; Glomerales; Glomeraceae.
CUUGGUCAUUUAAAGGAAGUAAAAGUCGUAACAAGGUUUCCGUAGGUGAACCUGCGGAAGGAUCAUUAAAAACUUUUAUCCGGGAAUUCGUUUCGUCUUCCCGGAUUAUUUGUAUUCAAAUCCCACUCUUUAUAAAUAUAUCAAUUAUAUAAAACAAAUAUAAAAAAGAAAACUUUCAACAACGGAUCUCUUGGCUCUCGCAUCGAUGAAGAACGCAGCGAAAUGCGAUACGUAAUGUGAAUUGCAGAUUCCGUGAAUCAUCGAAUCUUUGAACACAAAUUGUACUUUUCAGUAAUCUGGAAAGUAUGCUUGGUUGAGGGUCAUUAAAAUAACAUUCGUGAUUUUUUUCGCGGAUUUGAGUUUUCCAGUAUUUAUAAAUAAAUGCUGGUAACUUUAAAAUUAUUUAUAACUUGGUACAAGUUGAAAACGUGCUAUAUGUGUGGUUCGCUGACAACUUGUCCAUCUUUAUAUAUUAUGCGCGUGCUUGGCUUUUUAAGUUUUGUGCGAGUAUAUAUUUUUUUUUAUGACCUCAGCUCAAGCAAGAAUACCCGCUGAACUUAAGCAUAUCAAUAAGCGGAGGAAAAGAAACUAACAAGGAUUCCCCUAGUAACGGCGAGUGAAGAGGGAAAAGCUCAAAUUUUAAAUCUACCUGGUUCCCAGGUCGAAUUGUAAUUUGAAGAAGCGAUAUCUGUGUUGAGGUCUGGUUCAAGUUCUUUGGAACAAGACAUCAUGGAGGGUGAGAAUCCCGUGCAUGAUCAGACCAAGAUACUUAAUAUUCGUUUUCUAAGAGUCGAGUUGUUUGGGAAU